RNAcentral lists this ribosomal RNA (484 nucleotides) under uncultured bacterium. RNAcentral's name for it is "partial 16S ribosomal RNA". It matches the Rfam family "Bacterial small subunit ribosomal RNA", at positions 30 to 507 of the family's 1533-position model. The record is from RNAcentral.
AUUGAACGCUGGCGGCAGGCCUAACACAUGCAAGUCGAGCGGAUGAAGGGAGCUUGCUCCUGGAUUCAGCGGCGGACGGGCGAGUAAUGCCUAGGAAUCUGCCUGGUAGUGGGGGAUAACGUCCGGAAACGGGCGCUAAUACCGCAUACGUCCUGAGGGAGAAAGUGGGGGAUCUUCGGACCUCACGCUAUCAGAUGAGCCUAGGUCGGAUUAGCUAGUUGGUGGGGUAAAGGCCUACCAAGGCGACGAUCCGUAACUGGUCUGAGAGGAUGAUCAGUCACACUGGAACUGAGACACGGUCCAGACUCCUACGGGAGGCAGCAGUGGGGAAUAUUGGACAAUGGGCGAAAGCCUGAUCCAGCCAUGCCGCGUGUGUGAAGAAGGUCUUCGGAUUGUAAAGCACUUUAAGUUGGGAGGAAGGGCAGUAAGUUAAUACCUUGCUGUUUUGACGUUACCAACAGAAUAGGCACCGGCUAACUUCGUG